This 496-nucleotide ribosomal RNA is filed under the name uncultured bacterium. Its description in RNAcentral is "partial 16S ribosomal RNA". It matches the Rfam family "Bacterial small subunit ribosomal RNA", at positions 28 to 507 of the family's 1533-position model. The record is from RNAcentral.
GAUGAACGCUGGCGGCGUGCCUAAUACAUGCAAGUCGAGCGAACAGACGAGGAGCUUGCUCCUCUGACGUUAGCGGCGGACGGGUGAGUAACACGUGGAUAACCUACCUAUAAGACUGGGAUAACUUCGGGAAACCGGAGCUAAUACCGGAUAAUAUAUUGAACCGCAUGGUUCAAUAGUGAAAGAUGGUUUUGCUGUCACUUAUAGAUGGAUCCGCGCCGCAUUAGCUAGUUGGUAAGGUAACGGCUUACCAAGGCAACGAUGCGUAGCCGACCUGAGAGGGUGAUCGGCCACACUGGAACUGAGACACGGUCCAGACUCCUACGGGGGCAGCAGUAGGGAAUCUUCCGCAAUGGGCGAAAGCCUGACGGAGCAACGCCGCGUGAGUGAUGAAGGUCUUCGGAUCGUAAAACUCUGUUAUUAGGGAAGAACAAAUGUGUAAGUAACUAUGCACGUCUUGACGGUACCUAAUCAGAAAGCCACGGCUAACUACGUG